RNAcentral lists this transfer RNA (73 nucleotides) under Cyanobium sp. Copco_Reservoir_LC18. Its description in RNAcentral is "tRNA-OTHER". The stretch from base 12 to 65 matches the Rfam family "tRNA", at positions 10 to 63 of the family's 71-position model. From Rfam's summary of the family: Transfer RNA (tRNA) molecules are approximately 80 nucleotides in length. Lineage: Bacteria; Bacillati; Cyanobacteriota; Cyanophyceae; Synechococcales; Prochlorococcaceae. The record is from RNAcentral.
GACACAGUCGUUCUCAAGGUAGAGCGCCUGCCUUACAAGCAGGAUGUCGCUGGUUCGAAACCGGCAUCGGGCA